UACGUAUGGGGCAAGCGUUAUCCGGAUUUACUGGGUGUAAAGGGAGUGUAGGCGGCCUGGCAAGCCUGAUGUGAAAUACCGGGGCCCAACCCCGGGGCUGCAUUGGGAACUGCCAGGCUGGAGUGCCGGAGAGGCAGGCGGAAUUCCUAGUGUAGCGGUGAAAUGCGUAGAUAUUAGGAGGAACACCAGUGGCGAAGGCGGCCUGCUGGACGGUGACUGACGCUGAGGCUCGAAAGCGUGGGGAGCAAACAGG
RNAcentral lists this ribosomal RNA (253 nucleotides) under uncultured bacterium. RNAcentral's name for it is "partial 16S ribosomal RNA". It matches the Rfam family "Bacterial small subunit ribosomal RNA", at positions 524 to 776 of the family's 1533-position model. The record is from RNAcentral.